RNAcentral lists this ribosomal RNA (253 nucleotides) under uncultured bacterium. Its description in RNAcentral is "partial 16S ribosomal RNA". It matches the Rfam family "Bacterial small subunit ribosomal RNA", at positions 524 to 776 of the family's 1533-position model. The record is from RNAcentral.
UACGGGGGGGGCAAGCGUUGUCCGGAAUUAUUGGGCGUAAAGAGCUCGUAGGCGGUUUGUCGCGUCUGCUGUGAAAAUCCAGGGCUUAACCCUGGACCUGCAGUGGGUACGGGCAGACUAGAGUGCGGUAGGGGAGAUCGGAAUUCCUGGUGUAGCGGUGAAAUGCGCAGAUAUCAGGAGGAACACCAGUGGCGAAGGCGGAUCUCUGGGCCGUAACUGACGCUGAGGAGCGAAAGCAUGGGGAGCGAACAGG